Molecule: ribosomal RNA, 419 nt
Filed under: uncultured bacterium
Lineage: Bacteria
Description: bacterial SSU rRNA
Rfam family: Bacterial small subunit ribosomal RNA
Source: RNAcentral
GUUUACGGGGGGAACGCGAAGAACCUUACCUACUCUUGACAUCCACAGAAUUCGCUAGAGAUAGCUUAGUGCCUUCGGGAACUGUGAGACAGGUGCUGCAUGGCUGUCGUCAGCUCGUGUUGUGAAAUGUUGGGUUAAGUCCCGCAACGAGCGCAACCCUUAUCCUUUGUUGCCAGCACGUAAUGGUGGGAACUCAAAGGAGACUGCCGGUGAUAAACCGGAGGAAGGUGGGGAUGACGUCAAGUCAUCAUGGCCCUUACGAGUAGGGCUACACACGUGCUACAAUGGCGUAUACAAAGAGAAGCGAACUCGCGAGAGCCAGCGGACCUCAUAAAGUACGUCGUAGUCCGGAUCGGAGUCUGCAACUCGACUCCGUGAAGUCGGAAUCGCUAGUAAUCGUAGAUCAGAUGCUAUGCCCG